RNAcentral lists this ribosomal RNA (251 nucleotides) under uncultured prokaryote. Its description in RNAcentral is "partial 16S rRNA". It matches the Rfam family "Bacterial small subunit ribosomal RNA", at positions 525 to 775 of the family's 1533-position model. The record is from RNAcentral.
ACGGAGGAUGCGAGCGUUAUCCGGAUUUAUUGGGUUUAAAGGGUGCGUAGGUGGACUGUUUAGUCAGUGGUGAAAUGCUGAUGCUCAACGUUAGCAUUGCCGUUGAAACUGACAGUCUUGAGAGUGAUUGAGGCAGGCGGAAUGUGUGGUGUAGGGGUGAAAAACAUACAUAUCACGCAGAACCCCAAGGGCGAAGGCAUCUCACAAAGCCACAACUGACACUGAAGCACGAAAGCGUGGGGAUCAAACAG